RNAcentral lists this long non-coding RNA (315 nucleotides) under Meleagris gallopavo (turkey). RNAcentral describes it as "lncRNA (ENSMGAG00000019416.1)". Lineage: Eukaryota; Metazoa; Chordata; Aves; Galliformes; Phasianidae. The record is from RNAcentral.
CUUUCUCCUGGACAAGUCACUUCUCAAGCCAAGAAUGUUUCAGUUCAGGUGCAUGGAGCCAGACACACACUGUUUUGAGCUGCAUUUGCCAAGGUGAGAUCUGGGUUUAAUAACAUCCAUGGACAACCCAUGCAAAAUAAGAAACAGCAGAAAAAAGCAUACUUUGAAGAGCAAAAUAUUUGGGUGAAUUGCCUCUUAUAUUUGGAGAAGCUCAGGACUUGGAAUUCUCUGAAGCAUAAACUAGCUCAUCUUCUUCUCCCCAGAGAACCCGUGAAGUAUUUGCGGAGUAUGGAGAAAGGCAGUGGAAAGUCAUGA